AGUCCUAUAGCUCAGUGGUUAGAGCAUUCGCUUUACAAGCGAGAGACCCAGGUUCGAUUCCCGGCAGGGUGA
Molecule: non-coding RNA, 72 nt
Organism: Callorhinchus milii (elephant shark)
Lineage: Eukaryota; Metazoa; Chordata; Chondrichthyes; Chimaeriformes; Callorhinchidae
Source: the annotation of a RefSeq genome assembly